CCCUUAGAUGUUCUGGGCAGCACGCGCGCUACAAUGGUCUUCGCAAACGGAUGCAUUCUCGAAGGAGAAUGCCAAUCUUGGAAUCUAUGCCUUGGUCGGGACAGUUGCUUGCAAUUUUUCGACUCGAACCAGGAAUUCCUUGUAAUCGUGAUUCAUCACAUCACGAUGAAUACGUCCCUGCCCUUUGUACACACCGCCCGUCACUCCUACCGAUCGAAGAGUUAGGUGAAUUGUUUUGAUCGAUAAGAUUUGACUAUGGUCAACUCUCGUUGUGAAAUUCUGUGAAUCUGACUGUUUAGAGGAAGGAAAAGUCGUAACA
RNAcentral lists this ribosomal RNA (319 nucleotides) under uncultured eukaryote. RNAcentral's name for it is "partial 18S ribosomal RNA". It matches the Rfam family "Eukaryotic small subunit ribosomal RNA", at positions 1470 to 1796 of the family's 1831-position model. The record is from RNAcentral.